UUGGGCGUAAAGCGAGCGCAGGCGGUUAGAUAAGUCUGAAGUUAAAGGCUGUGGCUUAACCAUAGUACGCUUUGGAAACUGUUUAACUUGAGUGCAAGAGGGGAGAGUGGAAUUCCAUGUGUAGCGGUGAAAUGCGUAGAUAUAUGGAGGAACACCGGUGGCGAAAGCGGCUCUCUGGCUUGUAACUGACGCUGAGGCUCGAAAGCGUGGGGAGCAAACAGGAUUAGAUACCCUGGUAGUCCACGCCGUAAACGAUGAGUGCUAGGUGUUAGACCCUUUCCGGGGUUUAGUGCCGCAGCUAACGCAUUAAGCACUCCGCCUGGGGAGUACGACCGCAAGGUUGAAACUCAAAGGAAUUGACGGGGGCCCGCACAAGCGGUGGAGCAUGUGGUUUAAUUCGAAGCGACGCGAAGAACCUUACCAGGUCUUGACAUCCCUCUGACCGCUCUAGAGAUAGAGUUUUCCUUCGGGACAGAGGUGACAGGUGGUGCAUGGUUGUCGUCAGCUCGUGUCGUGA
RNAcentral lists this ribosomal RNA (517 nucleotides) under uncultured bacterium. RNAcentral's name for it is "bacterial SSU rRNA". It matches the Rfam family "Bacterial small subunit ribosomal RNA", at positions 554 to 1070 of the family's 1533-position model. The record is from RNAcentral.